AGGUUUCCGUAGGUGAACNUGCGGAAGGAUCAUUA
This 35-nucleotide ribosomal RNA is filed under the name Aspergillus versicolor. Its description in RNAcentral is "partial 18S ribosomal RNA". The record is from RNAcentral. Lineage: Eukaryota; Fungi; Ascomycota; Eurotiomycetes; Eurotiales; Aspergillaceae.